AACCCUUCUGUUUCUCUGGAAGGAAAAUAAUAAUAAUAAUAAUAAUGGGUCAGACAGAGGAACAGAGAUUGUUGAAAAAGGUGAUGAGAUCGGCAGGUGUCAGCGACGCCAUCAAUCGGCGUUCCCAGAGAAAUUGGGCAAGACAGAGACUUUUUCUUACCCUCUGAUUGCUAUUUAGGGCUUUUAUCUCAUUCUUUAGGGUUUCUUAUUAUUUUUUGUUUUCACUCUCUGUGGUGUAUCUUAACUUCUACUUUGUCUUUGGUGUGCAGGUGUUUGAAAGCACAAAUCAGAGCAAAGAACAGAGGAUUCCAAAUGUUUAAUGGUAAAGGUUGUGGUUACCGAGUAAUUGUUUUGGGAGUGACUGAACCGAAGAAGCAUCAUUGAGAUUGCUGGUGAUCAUGGUUACCAGUUUCUGACUUCAAAUUUGGAUGGGGAAACUAAUGUAACGAUCAGAAAGGCAUCUGAAUGGAAUAGGGAUUGUUUAACUCCAGAGAAAGUGUCUGCAUUUUGGUUGGCAAGGAGAGCACGUUACAUUCAAGCAUGUCUAGUGCAUGCUUACUUUGCAAAGGUAUAAAUAAUUUUUCUUGUCGUUUUGUACCUUAUUCUCAAUUGAUCUAUCUUUUACCUUUCAAAAAAUAAAAUUCUCGUAUUUAUUAGUCAUGUUCAAAAACUCUAAGUGGUGAUCUAUGUGACAUUUGCUUAAAGUCCUACCGCCAUGACAUUACAGUUUAUCCUCAAUAGUUUAUCAGUUUUAUAUUUUUGCUCAUUACGUUUGGUUUUGUUUAUCUUACGAUAUGUAUAUUUCCAUGACAGACUUGCUUACCUGCACAUGUACAUGUUUUUAUUUUUUAUUUUUUAUUUUUUAAUUUUUUUUUUGGGUAAAUCACAUGUACAUGUACUUGGAUGAUAGUCUUGCUGAUAAUUUUCAUUUUUUAUUUCUGUAGUAAUUACAGCUGGUCUUUGGCUUCCCUCUAUACACAAUAAAAGACUUUUCAUUAUGUGUAAAUAAGAAAAUGUCAGGGGUGUAUGUAUAUUUGUUGUAAAGCGAGGUUGAGUCCCGCUGUACUCUUUGUCAAUAAAAAAAUAUGAAA
Molecule: long non-coding RNA, 1091 nt
Organism: Ziziphus jujuba (common jujube)
Lineage: Eukaryota; Viridiplantae; Streptophyta; Magnoliopsida; Rosales; Rhamnaceae
Exons: 3
Source: RefSeq, a predicted model, not a curated record